This 879-nucleotide ribosomal RNA is filed under the name uncultured bacterium. RNAcentral describes it as "bacterial SSU rRNA". It matches the Rfam family "Bacterial small subunit ribosomal RNA", at positions 8 to 916 of the family's 1533-position model. The record is from RNAcentral.
AGAGUUUGAUCCUGGCUCAGGAUGAAUGCUGGCGACGUGCCUUAAGCAUGCAAGUCGAGCGGGAUGGUAGCAAUAUCAUCUAGCGGCGGACGGCUGAGUAACGCGUAGGAAUCUGCCUUAAAGUGCGGGAUACCUCCUCGAAAGAGGAGCUAAUACCGCAUGUGAACGAAAGUUUAAAGGAGCUAACCCUCCGCUUUAAGAUGAGCCUGCGUCCUAUCAGUUUGUUGGUGGGGUAAAAGCCUACCAAGACUAUGACGGGUAGGGGGUGUGAGAGCAUGGCCCCCCAGAGUGGAACUGAGACACGGUCCAUACACCUACGGGUGGCAGCAACUGGGAAUCUUCGACAAUGGGCGAAAGCCUGAUCGAGCGACGUCGCGUGGGGGAUGAAGGCCUUCGGGUUGUAAACUCCUUUUGCUAGAGAACAAUCUAAUUGAGUUAACCUAGCGAAUAAGCACCUGCAAACUACGUGCCAGCAGCAGCGGUGAUACGUAGGGUGCAAGCAUUAUCCGGAUUUAUUGGGCGUAAAGGGUUGCGUAGGUGGUUUAGUAAGUCUUUUCUUAAAGACCCUGGCUUAACUAGGGUACUGGAGCAGAUACUGCUAGACUUUGAAGAAGUGAGAGGUCAGCGGAACUUAUGGUGGAGCAGUGAAAUGCGUUGAGAUCAUAAUGAACACCGAUGGCGUAGGCAGCUGACUGACACUUUCUUGACACUGAGGCACGAAAGCCAGGGGAGCGAAAGGGAUUAGAGACCCCUGUAGUCCUAGCCGUAAACGAUGGACACUAGAUGACGGGCCUUAUAAGUUCGUUGUCGCAAGCUAACGCGUUAAGUGUCCCGCCUGGGGAGUACGAACGCAAGUUUAAAACUCAAAGGAAUUGACGG